This 473-nucleotide ribosomal RNA is filed under the name uncultured Sphingobacteriales bacterium. RNAcentral's name for it is "bacterial SSU rRNA". It matches the Rfam family "Bacterial small subunit ribosomal RNA", at positions 911 to 1382 of the family's 1533-position model. Lineage: Bacteria; Pseudomonadati; Bacteroidota; Sphingobacteriia; Sphingobacteriales. The record is from RNAcentral.
AGUGACGGGGCCCGCACAAGCGGAGGAACAUGUGGUUAAUUCGAUGAUACGCGAGGAACCUUACCUGGGCUUAAAUGCAGAGUGCAUGGAGUGGAAACACUUCUUCCCGUUCGGGGCUUCUUUGCAAGGUGCUGCAUGGUUGUCGUCAGCUCGUGCCGUGAGGUGUCGGGUUAAGUCCCAUAACGAGCGCAACCCUUAUCGUUAGUUGCCAGCGGGUAAAGCCGGGAACUCUAGCGAAACUGCCGGUGUAAACCGAGAGGAAGGUGGGGAUGACGUCAAAUCAGCACGGCCCUUAUGUCCAGGGCUACACACGUGUUACAAUGGCCGGUACAGAGGGCAGCUACCUGGAGACAGGAUGCGAAUCUCGAAAGCCGGUCUCAGUUCGGAUCGGAGUCUGCAACUCGACUCCGUGAAGCUGGAUUCGCUAGUAAUCGCGCAUCAGCCAUGGCGCGGUGAAUACGUUCCCGGGCCUU